GGUUCCUUAACUUAACUGGUAAAGUAUAUUCUUGAUAAGGAUAGGUUCGGCGUUCAAAUCGCUGAGGAAUCA
This 72-nucleotide transfer RNA is filed under the name Usnea subfusca. Its description in RNAcentral is "tRNA-Ile". It matches the Rfam family "tRNA". From Rfam's summary of the family: Transfer RNA (tRNA) molecules are approximately 80 nucleotides in length. Their secondary structure includes four short double-helical elements and three loops (D, anti-codon, and T loops). The record is from RNAcentral. Lineage: Eukaryota; Fungi; Ascomycota; Lecanoromycetes; Lecanorales; Parmeliaceae.